UGUGAAGCGAGAUUGUUCAAC
RNAcentral lists this non-coding RNA (21 nucleotides) under Caenorhabditis elegans. The record is from RNAcentral. Lineage: Eukaryota; Metazoa; Nematoda; Chromadorea; Rhabditida; Rhabditidae.